GCUGGCGGCGUGCCUAAUACAUGCAAGUCGAGCGAAUCUCUUCGGAGAUUAGCGGCGGACGGGUGAGUAACACGUAGGCAACCUGCCUGUAAGACUGGGAUAACUUCGGGAAACCGGAGCUAAUACCGGAUAGGUUUUCGUAUUGCAUGAUACGAAAUGGAAAGGCGGCUUUUAGCUGUCACUUACAGAUGGGCCUGCGGCGCAUUAGCUAGUUGGUGAGGUAACGGCUCACCAAGGCGACGAUGCGUAGCCGACCUGAGAGGGUGAUCGGCCACACUGGGACUGAGACACGGCCCAGACUCCUACGGGAGGCAGCAGUAGGGAAUCUUCCGCAAUGGACGAAAGUCUGACGGAGCAACGCCGCGUGAGCGAUGAAGGCCUUCGGGUCGUAAAGCUCUGUUGUUAGGGAAGAACAAGUACGAGAGUAACUGCUCGUACCUUGACGGUACCUAACCAGAAAGCCACGGCUAACUACGUGCCAGCAGCCGCGGUAAUACGUAGGUGGCAAGCGUUAUCCGGAAUUAUUGGGCGUAAAGCGCGCGCAGGCGGUUUCUUAAGUCUGAUGUGAAAGCCCACGGCUCAACCGUGGAGGGUCAUUGGAAACUGGGAAACUUGAGUGCAGAAGAGGAAAGUGGAAUUCCACGUGUAGCGGUGAAAUGCGUAGAGAUGUGGAGGAACACCAGUGGCGAAGGCGACUUUCUGGUCUGUAACUGAC
RNAcentral lists this ribosomal RNA (715 nucleotides) under Bacillus sp. P3722. RNAcentral's name for it is "bacterial SSU rRNA". It matches the Rfam family "Bacterial small subunit ribosomal RNA", at positions 35 to 744 of the family's 1533-position model. Lineage: Bacteria; Bacillati; Bacillota; Bacilli; Caryophanales; Bacillaceae. The record is from RNAcentral.